This 403-nucleotide ribosomal RNA is filed under the name Verrucomicrobiota bacterium. RNAcentral describes it as "Verrucomicrobia bacterium partial 16S ribosomal RNA". It matches the Rfam family "Bacterial small subunit ribosomal RNA", at positions 355 to 776 of the family's 1533-position model. The record is from RNAcentral. Lineage: Bacteria; Pseudomonadati; Verrucomicrobiota.
UGGGGAAUAUUGCACAAUGGAGGGAACUCUGAUGCAGCGACGCCGCGUGAACGAAGAAGGCUUUCGAGUCGUAAAGUUCUUUUAUAUGGGAAGAUAAUGACGGUACCAUAAGAAAAAGCCCCGGCUAACUACGUGCCAGCAGCCGCGGUAAUACGUAGGGGGCUAGCGUUGUCCGGAAUCACUGGGCGUAAAGGGUUCGCAGGCGGAAAUGCAAGUCAGGUGUAAAAGGCAGUAGCUCAACUACUGUAAGCAUUUGAAACUGCAUAUCUUGAGAAGAGUAGAGGUAAGUGGAAUUUUUAGUGUAGCGGUGAAAUGCGUAGAUAUUAAAAAGAAUACCGGUGGCGAAGGCGACUUACUGGGCUCAUUCUGACGCUGAGGAACGAAAGCGUGGGUAGCAAACAGG